Long non-coding RNA from Triticum aestivum (bread wheat), 559 nucleotides. RefSeq lists it as uncharacterized. The transcript is spliced from 4 exons. NCBI's taxonomy places the organism in Eukaryota, Viridiplantae, Streptophyta, Magnoliopsida, Poales, Poaceae. The record is from RefSeq and is a predicted model, not a curated record.
UCAACUAUGUUUCUUCGAGGCCUCAAGAACACCACAGCCAGACACAAGUCGGAGGUAACGGUCAUUCCAUUUGCGUAUGGGUAAUGCAAAAAGCAAAGCCGGUGAACAUCAACAAGAAGAGGACGUAGCUACAGGUCAGGCGAGUGGUAAAAAUGUUGAAGAAUACAGUGCAACCUUUGAUACUGAAAAAGAUGAAGCUAUUUGCGCAACAGAACCCGGUAUAUAACUGUGUGAAAAUUACUGUGAGGUAUUGCCUGACGUGCAUAUCUGACAAUGACAUGGACCAUGCUUAAUGUGUUGCAGCCCCUACGAGCGAGACAAAUCUGAAAGAAUAUAAUCCAAGCAUCUUAACCGUAGCUGCAAAUCUUGACCCAAUUUACACGACGGAAACAGAUGGAUCAGAAUGGGUAAGGCCUGGAUACCAUGCUGAUGGUCAAACAUUUGCGGCUACGGCUAAUCUAACACUAGAUCAUGCUAUUAAUAAGAUGCAGCUGCGAGAUGAUACUGAAGACGACACAGCUUCCGAACUGCUUGAAACUGUUUCUCUAAAUAAUGAAUG